GGUUAAGCGACUAAGCGUACACGGUGGAUGCCCUGGCAGUCAGAGGCGAUGAAGGACGUGCUAAUCUGCGAAAAGCGCCGGCGAGGUGAUAUGAACCUUUGACCCGGCGAUGUCCGAAUGGGGAAACCCAGUGCAAUUCGUUGCACUAUCGUUAACUGAAUACAUAGGUUAACGAGGCGAACCGGGGGAACUGAAACAUCUAAGUACCCCGAGGAAAAGAAAUCAACCGAGAUUCCCCCAGUAGCGGCGAGCGAACGGGGAGUAGCCCAGAGUCUGAAUCAGCUUGUGUGUUAGUGGAAGCGUCUGGAAAGUCGCACGGUACAGGGUGACAGUCCCGUACACGAAAGCACACAGGUUGUGAACUCGAAGAGUAGGGCGGGACACGUGGUAUCCUGUCUGAAUAUGGGGGGACCAUCCUCCAAGGCUAAAUACUCCUGACUGACCGAUAGUGAACCAGUACCGUGAGGGAAAGGCGAAAAGAACCCCGGCGAGGGGAGUGAAAAAGAACCUGAAACCGUGUACGUACAAGCAGUGGGAGCACCUUCGUGGUGUGACUGCGUACCUUUUGUAUAAUGGGUCAGCGACUUAUAUUCUGUAGCAAGGUUAACCGUAUAGGGGAGCCGAAGGGAAACCGAGUCUUAACUGGGCGUUAAGUUGCAGGGUAUAGACCCGAAACCCGGUGAUCUAGCCAUGGGCAGGUUGAAGGUUGGGUAACACUAACUGGAGGACCGAACCGACUAAUGUUGAAAAAUUAGCGGAUGACUUGUGGCUGGGGGUGAAAGGCCAAUCAAACCGGGAGAUAGCUGGUUCUCCCCGAAAGCUAUUUAGGUAGCGCCUCGUGAAUUCAUCUUCGGGGGUAGAGCACUGUUUCGGCUAGGGGGCCAUCCCGGCUUACCAACCCGAUGCAAACUACGAAUACCGAAGAAUGUUAUCACGGGAGACACACGGCGGGUGCUAACGUCCGUCGUGAAGAGGGAAACAACCCAGACCGCCAGCUAAGGUCCCAAAGUCAUGGUUAAGUGGGAAACGAUGUGGGAAGGCACAGACAGCCAGGAUGUUGGCUUAGAAGCAGCCAUCAUUUAAAGAAAGCGUAAUAGCUCACUGGUCGAGUCGGCCUGCGCGGAAGAUGUAACGGGGCUAAACCAUGCACCGAAGCUGCGGCAGCGACGCGUAUGCGUUGUUGGGUAGGGGAGCGUUCUGUAAGCCGUUGAAGGUGUCCUGUGAGGGGUGCUGGAGGUAUCAGAAGUGCGAAUGCUGACAUAAGUAACGAUAAAGCGGGUGAAAAGCCCGCUCGCCGGAAGACCAAGGGUUCCUGUCCAACGUUAAUCGGGGCAGGGUGAGUCGACCCCUAAGGCGAGGCCGAAAGGCGUAGUCGAUGGGAAACAGGUUAAUAUUCCUGUACUUGGUGUUACUGCGAAGGGGGGACGGAGAAGGCUAUGUUAGCCGGGCGACGGUUGUCCCGGUUUAAGCAUGUAGGCGGAGGUUCCAGGUAAAUCCGGUACCUUUUAACGCUGAGGUGUGAUGACGAGGCACUACGGUGCUGAAGUAACAAAUGCCCUGCUUCCAGGAAAAGCCUCUAAGCAUCAGGUAACAUCAAAUCGUACCCCAAACCGACACAGGUGGUCAGGUAGAGAAUACCAAGGCGCUUGAGAGAACUCGGGUGAAGGAACUAGGCAAAAUGGUGCCGUAACUUCGGGAGAAGGCACGCUGAUAUGUAGGUGAAGCCCCUGCGGGUGGAGCUGAAAUCAGUCGAAGAUACCAGCUGGCUGCAACUGUUUAUUAAAAACACAGCACUGUGCAAACACGAAAGUGGACGUAUACGGUGUGACGCCUGCCCGGUGCCGGAAGGUUAAUUGAUGGGGUUAGCGGCAACGCGAAGCUCUUGAUCGAAGCCCCGGUAAACGGCGGCCGUAACUAUAACGGUCCUAAGGUAGCGAAAUUCCUUGUCGGGUAAGUUCCGACCUGCACGAAUGGCGUAAUGAUGGCCAGGCUGUCUCCACCCGAGACUCAGUGAAAUUGAACUCGCUGUGAAGAUGCAGUGUACCCGCGGCAAGACGGAAAGACCCCGUGAACCUUUACUAUAGCUUGACACUGAACACUGGUCCUUGAUGUGUAGGAUAGGUGGGAGGCUUUGAAGCGUGGACGCCAGUCUGCGUGGAGCCGUCCUUGAAAUACCACCCUUUAAUGGCUGGUGUUCUAACGUAGACCCGUGAUCCGGGUUGCGGACAGUGUCUGGUGGGUAGUUUGACUGGGGCGGUCUCCUCCCAAAGAGUAACGGAGGAGCACGAAGGUUAGCUAAUCCUGGUCGGACAUCAGGAGGUUAGUGCAAUGGCAUAAGCUAGCUUGACUGCGAGAGUGACGGCUCGAGCAGGUGCGAAAGCAGGUCAUAGUGAUCCGGUGGUUCUGAAUGGAAGGGCCAUCGCUCAACGGAUAAAAGGUACUCCGGGGAUAACAGGCUGAUACCGCCCAAGAGUUCAUAUCGACGGCGGUGUUUGGCACCUCGAUGUCGGCUCAUCACAUCCUGGGGCUGAAGUAGGUCCCAAGGGUAUGGCUGUUCGCCAUUUAAAGUGGUACGCGAGCUGGGUUUAGAACGUCGUGAGACAGUUCGGUCCCUAUCUGCCGUGGGCGCUGGAGAAUUGAGGGGGGCUGCUCCUAGUACGAGAGGACCGGAGUGGACGCAUCACUGGUGUUCGGGUUGUCAUGCCAAUGGCACUGCCCGGUAGCUAAAUGCGGAAAAGAUAAGUGCUGAAAGCAUCUAAGCACGAAACUUGCCCCGAGAUGAGUUCUCCCUGACCCUUUAAGGGUCCUGAAGGAACGUUGAAGACGACGACGUUGAUAGGUCGGGUGUGUAAGCGCAGCGAUGCGUUGAGCUAACCGAUACUAAUGAACCGUGAGGCUUAACCUU
RNAcentral lists this ribosomal RNA (2905 nucleotides) under Enterobacter asburiae. Its description in RNAcentral is "23S ribosomal RNA". It matches the Rfam family "Bacterial large subunit ribosomal RNA". Lineage: Bacteria; Pseudomonadati; Pseudomonadota; Gammaproteobacteria; Enterobacterales; Enterobacteriaceae. The record is from RNAcentral.